CAUCACAUUCUUUAUUUUGUAACAUGAACAUGAAUAUUUGGCAUCUCCUCUGUGUGGUGAUUGUCUUUCAGCAAGGUAUCAGUGGUGAUGACAUUCGAUUAGAUCAGUCACCUGCUGUGACAAAGAAACCCAGAGAAACAGUGAAGAUCUCCUGUAAAAUAUCUGGGUUUACAAUGACAGAGCACUACAUGCACUGGAUACGGCAGAAGCCUGGAAAAGCUCUGGAGUGGAUUGGGAGAGUUGACUCCGGCUCUGGUAGUGCUGAAUAUGCAGAUUCCAUGAAAAACCAAUUCACUCUGAGUGAGGACGUGUCUCAAAUAUGCAGUAUCUUGAAGCCAAGAGUCUGAGAGAAGAGGACACUGCUGUUUAUUACUGUGCUCGAGAGUCCACCGUGACUCCAUCUGAUGAAGCAGCUCUACAAGAACUCAGAAACACAGGGGACAGAGGGAGUUCUUGA
Non-coding RNA from Danio aesculapii, 457 nucleotides. Lineage: Eukaryota; Metazoa; Chordata; Actinopteri; Cypriniformes; Danionidae. The record is from the annotation of a RefSeq genome assembly.